This 2772-nucleotide ribosomal RNA is filed under the name Triticum aestivum (bread wheat). Its description in RNAcentral is "partial small subunit ribosomal RNA". Lineage: Eukaryota; Viridiplantae; Streptophyta; Magnoliopsida; Poales; Poaceae. The record is from RNAcentral.
AUGGCCAUGGAGACGGCUCUUGUUACCGUGGCCACAGGGGUCCUCAAACCUGUCCUGGGGAAGCUGGUUGUUCUGCUCGGCAACGAGUACAAGCGGUUCAAGGGUGUGCGCAAGGGGAUCAGGUCCCUUACUCAUGAGCUCGGCGCCAUGGAGGCUUUUCUCACCAAGAUGUCAGAGGAGGAGGAUCCCAAUGUGCAGGAUAAAGUUUGGAUGAAUGAGGUGCGGGAACUGUCCUAUGACAUGGAAGACGCCAUCGAUGACUUCAUGCAAAGCAUCGGUGACAAAGACGAAAAGCCAGAUGGCUUCAUUGAUAAGAUCAAGAGCUCACUAGGGAAGUUGGGGAAGAUGAAGGCUCGCCGUCGGAUUGGCAGAGAGAUUCAGGAUCUGAAGAAACAGAUCAUCGAGGUGGGCGACAGGAAUGCAAGGUACAAGAGUCGUGAGACCUUCUCCAAGACUAUCAAUGCGACCGUUGACCCUAGAGCUCUUGCUAUCUUUGAGCAUGCCUCAAAGCUUGUUGGAAUCGAUGAACCCAAGGCUGAGGUAAUCAAGUUGUUGACAGAAGAGUAUGUUCGUUCAACAGUGCAGCAACAACAGCUACAACAACUGAAGAUAUUCUCCAUUGUUGGAUAUGGAGGUAUGGGCAAGACAACUCUGGCAAACCAAGUCUAUCAAGAGCUCAAAGGACAAUACGAGUGUCGGGCUUUCGUAUCAGUUUCACGAAAUCCAGACGUGACGAAUAUCUUGAGAACCAUUCUCAGUGAAGUCGCUAAGAAAGAUUAUGGUUGUACGGAAGGGGGGAGUAUACAACAACUCAUCAACAAGAUCACUGAUUUCCUAACAGACAAAAGGUACUUUGUUGUUGUUGACGAUAUAUGGGACGUGGAUACGUGGGAUAUUAUUAAGUGUGCAUUCCCAGCAACAACUUAUACCCGUAGAAUAAUCACCACUACUCGUAUAAACAGUGUCGCUCAUUCAUGUUUAUCAUCAUUCAAUGGCUGCAUUUACAAUAUAAGGGCUCUUGGUAUGGUGCACUCAAGACAGUUAUUUCACAGAAGGUUAUUCAAGUCUAUUGAAGAUUGCCCUUCAUACCUUCAAGAAAUUUCUGAGCAGAUAAUGAAAAAAUGCCAUGGGUUACCUUUGGCGAUCAUUGCUAUAUCUGGUUUGUUGGCUAACACAGAAAAAACAGAAGUUCUAUGGAAUCAAGUGAAAGAUUCAAUUGGUCGUGCACUUGAAAGGAAUCCCAACGUCGAAGGAAUGAUGAAGAUAUUAUCACUUAGUUACUUUGAUCUGCCUCUUUAUCUAAAAACAUGUCUCUUAUAUCUGAGCACAUAUCUAGAAGAUUCAACUAUCAAGAAGAAGGGCCUGAUAAGAAGAUGGAUUGCUGAAGGAUUCAUUCAUAGCGAGGGUAGAUACACGGCAUAUGAGUUAGGAGAAAGGUGUUUUAACGAACUACUCAAUAGGGGUUUGAUCCAACCUGGGGAGACAAAUGACUAUGGCAUAGUGAAGAGUUGUCGAGUUCAUGACACAAUUCUUGAUUUCAUCAUAUCCAAGUCCAUAGAAGAGAACUUUGUUACUUUACUUGGUGUUCCCAUUCCGACAAUUGGAAACCAAGGCAAAGUUGUUCGUCGACUUUGUCUACAAGGUGUCGAGGCAGGAAAUUCAGCAGUAUUGAUAGCAGAUCUCGUGUUUUCCCAUGUCCGAUCACUUAUUGUGGUUAGAGGUCUAUUGGAAAUCCCUUCUUUGGAGCAGUUCAGACAUCUGCGUGUUCUUGACUUGAUGGAUUGCUCCGAAUUGGAAGAUCAUCAUCUUGAAAAUAUAGUGAGGUUGUUCCAGCUGAGGUACCUGAAUCUCAAAGGUGCAGAAAUAAGCAAGCUCCCAGAACAAAUUGGUAGUUUAGGAUGCUUAGAGGUGCUGGACCUAAGAGGGACUUCUGUAAAGGAAUUACCUGCAUCUAUUGUUAAUCUCAGAAAAUUGAUGCAUCUACUUGUUGGUCAUGAUGGUGUUAAAUUUCCUGAUGGGAUUGCAAAGAUGCAAGCACUAGAGACGUUAAAAUAUGUCAAUGCCUCCAUUCAGCCAUUAGACUUCAUGUGCGGCCUUGGUCAACUAAUGAAUUUGAGGAAUCUGCAGCUUAUGUUUGAUUUCGGGAUCACAAAUAUGGCUAGGAAGGAGCACAACAAAGCUAUUAUCUCCUCCAUGUGUAAGCUUGGCACCCAGAAUAUUCGUUCCCUGAUUAUUCGGGAUGAGAGUGGCCUCUUAGAUGACGAAUCUUUGUGCCUGCCUACCCUCGAGUACCUUUCUAUCCAUUUUCUGAUCUUCUCAGAGGUUCCGACAUGGGUGGGUUCCCUCAGAAACCUCCAACGGCUACGCCUUGCUGUGGAGGGGCUCAAGCAGGACGACCUCUGCUCCCUUGGGGCUUUACCCAGUCUACUCGUUCUGUGUCUGGAUGAUGAAACAAAGUCAAACGAAAAGCUCAGAAUCAAUGGUGAAGUUGGGUUCCGAUUCUUGAAGAUUUUUGUUUAUUGCAGAUGUUUUAAACCAGCAGAUCUGAUUUUUGGGAUAGGGUCCAUGCCAAAGCUUGAAAAACUAGAGCUUAAUGAGCUUCACAUGGUUGAAGCUAACUCUCUCGGCUUUGGAAUUGAGAACCUCCCUUGCCUCACUAGUGUCAAAUGCAUUGUUGUUCGCGGUGAUGCUGGCAUUGCUGAAGCCGUGAAGUCAGCCAUGAAGAGAGCAGCCAGCACGCAUCCCAACCACCCUAGUCUACGCUUUUCGUGA